Non-coding RNA from Ictidomys tridecemlineatus (thirteen-lined ground squirrel), 72 nucleotides. The record is from Rfam. Lineage: Eukaryota; Metazoa; Chordata; Mammalia; Rodentia; Sciuridae.
UGGGUUAUAGCUCAGUAGCAGAGCACUUGUCUCACACACAUGAGGCACUGGGUUCGAUUCUCAGCACCACAU